Molecule: ribosomal RNA, 292 nt
Filed under: uncultured bacterium
Lineage: Bacteria
Description: partial 16S ribosomal RNA
Rfam family: Bacterial small subunit ribosomal RNA
Source: RNAcentral
GUGUCAGCAGCCGCGGUAACACGGGGGGAGCAAGCGUUGUUCGGAAUCACUGGGCGUAAAGGGCGUGUAGGCGGUCAAGUAAGUGGAAUGUGAAAUCCCCCGGCUUACCCGGGGACCGGCAUCCCAUACUGCUUGGCUUGAGUACGGGAGAGGAUGUGGGAAUUCCUGGUGUAGCGGUGAAAUGCGUAGAUAUCAGGAGGAACACCGGUGGCGAAGGCGCACAUCUGGCCCGAUACUGACGCUGAAGCGCGAAAGCUAGGGGAGCAAACGGGAUUAGAAACCCGAGUAGUCC